Mytilus trossulus (common blue mussel) is the source of this 456-nucleotide long non-coding RNA. RefSeq lists it as uncharacterized. NCBI's taxonomy places the organism in Eukaryota, Metazoa, Mollusca, Bivalvia, Mytilida, Mytilidae. The transcript has 3 exons. The record is from RefSeq and is a predicted model, not a curated record.
CUUAUUGACAUACGACAUUUUCUACUGGUUUGGGUAACUUUGGUUUGACUGUAGUUUACUUCAAAGGUUUUCUUUUUAUGCUUCGGUGGACCGCACACUUUCUUUAUUUCUAUUGGUCAUUAUAUUUUGGCGCUAUAUUUCUUUUGUUCUUUUAUGCUGGUCAUCACUUUUCUAUAUACUGGUGGACAUGUUGAUAUGUGCUGGAUGAAAUUCUAAGUUUGAACCUAUAUUCGUUUUUAGUUUUCUUUCUAUUCCAUAUUCAGGUAUAUUUUAUGUAAUCCUGGGAUGAUGUAAAUCAAUUUCCAUAGAUAUAAAUCAGGAGGCCUUUGCACCUCAUGCGAGGGUACGUUUUAUGUAUAUUUGUUAUUAUCCUGAAAACUAGUCCAGAAAUAAAAGGAACCAUCUUAAAGAAAGUAUUGUGUUUAUUUAAGCCCUAGAAAGUGCUACUACAUAUAU